Molecule: ribosomal RNA, 454 nt
Filed under: Klebsiella quasipneumoniae
Lineage: Bacteria; Pseudomonadati; Pseudomonadota; Gammaproteobacteria; Enterobacterales; Enterobacteriaceae
Description: bacterial SSU rRNA
Rfam family: Bacterial small subunit ribosomal RNA
Source: RNAcentral
GGGGGUAGAAUUCCAGGUGUAGCGGUGAAAUGCGUAGAGAUCUGGAGGAAUACCGGUGGCGAAGGCGGCCCCCUGGACAAAGACUGACGCUCAGGUGCGAAAGCGUGGGGAGCAAACAGGAUUAGAUACCCUGGUAGUCCACGCCGUAAACGAUGUCGAUUUGGAGGUUGUGCCCUUGAGGCGUGGCUUCCGGAGCUAACGCGUUAAAUCGACCGCCUGGGGAGUACGGCCGCAAGGUUAAAACUCAAAUGAAUUGACGGGGGCCCGCACAAGCGGUGGAGCAUGUGGUUUUAAUUCGAUGCAACGCGAAGAACCUUACCUGGUCUUGACAUCCACAGAACUUAGCAGAGAUGCUUUGGUGCCUUCGGGAACUGUGAGACAGGUGCUGCAUGGCUGUCGUCAGCUCGUGUUGUGAAAUGUUGGGUUAAGUCCCGCAACGAGCGCAACCCUUAUC